Molecule: ribosomal RNA, 401 nt
Filed under: uncultured bacterium
Lineage: Bacteria
Description: bacterial SSU rRNA
Rfam family: Bacterial small subunit ribosomal RNA
Source: RNAcentral
AUUGAACGCUGGCGGAAUGCCUUACACAUGCAAGUCGAACGGUAGCGGGCCUUCGGGUGCCGACGAGUGGCGAACGGGUGAGUAAUGCAUCGGAACGUGCCAUUGAGUGGGGGAUAACGUAGCGAAAGUUACGCUAAUACCGCAUAUUCUGUGAGCAGGAAAGCAGGGGACCGCAAGGCCUUGCGCUCUUUGAGCGGCCGAUGUCAGAUUAGCUAGUUGGUGAGGUAAAGGCUUACCAAGGCGACGAUCUGUAGCGGGUCUGAGAGGAUGAUCCGCCACACUGGAACUGAGACACGGUCCAGACUCCUACGGGAGGCAGCAGUGGGGGAAUUUUGGGACAAUGGGGGCAACCCUGAUCCAGCCAUGCCGCGUGAGUGAAGAAGGCCUUCGGGUUGUAAAGC